UACGUAGGGGGGCAAGCGUUGUCCGGAUUCAUUGGGCGUAAAGGGUGCGUAGGCGGCGCGGUAAGUCGGGUGUGAAAUCUCGGAGCUUAACUCCGAAACUGCAUUCGAUACUGCCGUGCUUGAGGACUGGAGAGGAGACUGGAAUUUACGGUGUAGCGGUGAAAUGCGUAGAUAUCGUAAGGAAGACCAGUGGCGAAGGCGGGUCUCUGGACAGUUCCUGACGCUGAGGCACGAAGGUCAGGGGAGCAAACGGG
Molecule: ribosomal RNA, 254 nt
Filed under: uncultured bacterium
Lineage: Bacteria
Description: partial 16S ribosomal RNA
Rfam family: Bacterial small subunit ribosomal RNA
Source: RNAcentral